Molecule: ribosomal RNA, 515 nt
Filed under: Cellulomonas hominis
Lineage: Bacteria; Bacillati; Actinomycetota; Actinomycetes; Micrococcales; Cellulomonadaceae
Description: bacterial SSU rRNA
Rfam family: Bacterial small subunit ribosomal RNA
Source: RNAcentral
AGCCUGAUGCAGCGACGCCGCGUGAGGGAUGAAGGCCUUCGGGUUGUAAACCUCUUUCAGCAGGGAAGAAGCGCAAGUGACGGUACCUGCAGAAGAAGCGCCGGCUAACUACGUGCCAGCAGCCGCGGUAAUACGUAGGGCGCAAGCGUUGUCCGGAAUUAUUGGGCGUAAAGAGCUCGUAGGCGGUUUGUCGCGUCUGCUGUGAAAACUCGAGGCUCAACCUCGGGCUUGCAGUGGGUACGGGCAGACUAGAGUGCGGUAGGGGAGACUGGAAUUCCUGGUGUAGCGGUGGAAUGCGCAGAUAUCAGGAGGAACACCGAUGGCGAAGGCAGGUCUCUGGGCCGCAACUGACGCUGAGGAGCGAAAGCAUGGGGAGCGAACAGGAUUAGAUACCCUGGUAGUCCAUGCCGUAAACGUUGGGCACUAGGUGUGGGGCUCAUUCCACGAGUUCCGUGCCGCAGCAAACGCAUUAAGUGCCCCGCCUGGGGAGUACGGCCGCAAGGCUAAAACUCAAA